Molecule: ribosomal RNA, 254 nt
Filed under: uncultured bacterium
Lineage: Bacteria
Description: partial 16S ribosomal RNA
Rfam family: Bacterial small subunit ribosomal RNA
Source: RNAcentral
GACGUAGGGUGCAAGCGUUGUCCGGAUUUACUGGGCGUAAAGCGCGCGUAGGCGGUCUGUUAAGUGCACAAGUGAAAGCUCCGGGCUCAACUCGGAAACUGCUUUGCAUACUGGCAGGCUGGAGGGACGGAGAGGUCUGUGGAAUUCCUGGUGUAACGGUGAAAUGUGUUGAUAUCAGGAGGAACACCCAUGGCGAAGGCAGCAGACUGGCCGUUUCCUGACGCUGAGGCGCGAAAGCGUGGGUAGCAAACAGG